RNAcentral lists this ribosomal RNA (900 nucleotides) under Plicariella sp. Its description in RNAcentral is "partial large subunit ribosomal RNA". It matches the Rfam family "Eukaryotic large subunit ribosomal RNA", at positions 56 to 973 of the family's 3401-position model. Lineage: Eukaryota; Fungi; Ascomycota; Pezizomycetes; Pezizales; Pezizaceae. The record is from RNAcentral.
AAGAACAACAGGGAUUGCCUCAGUAACGGCGAGUGAAGCGGCAGAAGCUCAGAUUUGAAAUCUGGUGUUAUAUUAACAUCCGAGUUGUAAUCUGUAGAGGAGUUUUUUUUGAGUAUUACUUUGGUUAAAGUUCCUUGGGAAAGGGCAUCAUAGAGGGUGAGAAUCCUGUUUAUGAUCAUAGUAUUUCUCAUAUAUAAAUCUCCUUCAAUGAGUCGAGUUGUUUGGGAAUGCAGCUCUAAAUGGGUGGUAAAUUCCAUCUAAAGCUAAAUACUGGCAAGAGACCGAUAGCGCACAAGUAGAGUGAUCGAAAGAUGAAAAGAACUCUGAACAGAGAGUUAAAGAGUACGUGAAAUUGUUGAAAGGGAAGCACUUGUGACCAGACAAAAUUACAAUUAAUCAGCCAUCAGUCUUGGUGGUGCACUUGAUUGUAAGUGGGUUAGCAUCAGUUAUAGCAGUAGGAUAAAAAUCAAAGGAAUGUAGCUCCUCUUUGAGGAGUGUUAAAGCCUUUAGUUUAAUGGUACUUGCUAUAACUGAGGAUAGCACUUUCAAGUAAGGAUGCUGACAUAAUGGUUUUAAGUGACCCGUCUUGAAACACGGACCAAGGAGUCUAACAUCUAUGCGAGUAUUUGGGUUUUUAAGCCCUUAUGCAGAAUGAAAGUAAAUGGAGGUGGAAACCAUUAGGUGCACCAUCGACCGAUCCUGAAGUCUUCUGAUGGAUUUGAGUAGGAGCAUAGCUGUUGGGACCCGAAAGAUGGUGAACUAUGCCUGAAUAGGGUGAAGCCAGAGGAAACUCUGGUGGAGGCUCGCAGCGGUUCUGACGUGCAAAUCGAUCGUCAAAUUUGGGUAUAGGGGCGAAAGACUAAUCGAACCAUCUAGUAGCUGGUUCCGGCGAGUUUCCCC